AACUGGGAUUAGAUACCCCACUAUGCCUAACCGUAAAAUUUAACCCACACCUACAAACGCCAGGGUACUACGAGCCUCAGCUUAAAACCCAAAGGACUUGACGGUAUCCCACCCAACUAGAGGAGCCUGUUCUAUAAUCGAUAAUCCACGAUAUACCAAACCAUUUCUCGCCAUUCAGCCUGUAUACCUCCGUCGCAAGCUUACCGUAUGAACGUACACCAGUAGGCCAAAGGACUUUAACGUCAUAACGUCAGGUCAAGGUGCAGCUAAUGAAAUGGAAGUAAUGGGCUACAAUUUCUAAAUUAGAACAAACGAAAAACUACAUGAAACAUAGUCAUGAAGGCGGAUUUAGCAGUAAGUAGGAAAUAGAGAGUCCUACUAAACAUGGCCCUGGGAUGUGUACACACCGCCCGUCACCCUCUGCAGUCAA
RNAcentral lists this ribosomal RNA (430 nucleotides) under Zhangixalus dugritei (Sichuan whipping frog). RNAcentral describes it as "Rhacophorus dugritei (Sichuan whipping frog) partial 12S ribosomal RNA". It matches the Rfam family "Bacterial small subunit ribosomal RNA", at positions 770 to 1414 of the family's 1533-position model. Lineage: Eukaryota; Metazoa; Chordata; Amphibia; Anura; Rhacophoridae. The record is from RNAcentral.